GACCUUCAUUGUAUAAGCAUGCUCUGCAAAAUUAGAAGAUAAAUAUUACAUCGUGAGCAUGUUAGAUUUCUUUGUUAGUUGAGGAGUGAAGUGUACCUGGUGCAACGUAUCCGACUGUGCCUGCAAGUUUGCUCUGAUUUGAUGAGUCUACCUUAAGAAGCUUGGCAGUGCCCAAGUUAGAAAUAUGAGCCUCAUAUUGAGAAUCCAGCAGAAUAUUGUUGCUCGAUAUAUCCCGAUGAACAAUCGGGGGUGAGCAAUCAUGGUGCAUGUAAGACAAAGCGUGAGCCACUCCUUUGAUGAUCUUGACCCUUGUAGCCCAACCCAAUUUUUUAGCUUCUUCUCUGCUCAAGAUUGUAGCCAAGCUACCUCUUUCAAGGUACUCAUAGACCAAAAAGGAGUGUCGUGGAUAUGAACAGAAACCAAGAAGUCUCACAAUGUUUCGAUGCUUGAUCUCUGUCAUUGCCCUUACUUUAUUCAAGAAAUCCUUUUGAUUUGCCAUAUCCAUGUCGGAUGGGUGAAGCUUCUUCACAGCUACUAUAUUACCUGAUGGCAGCUCUGCUUUGUAAACGCUUCCAUGCCCUCCCUUUCCGAUGCAAUACAUGGGAUCAAAGUCCUUGGUGGCCUUUAUAAUCUCUUCAUACAUUGCUCUUCCAUCAAAAGUUGAUAUUGAGAGGAGAUUAUUCUGUACAUCACCUUCUUCGAUUUCUGGAGUUCUCUCUCUUCUUUCAGCAAUCAAGAAAAUCCCAAUGAAAGCAGAAAGAAGUACAAGUGCUCCCAAAAGAGGGAAUAUGAUAAUAAACACAACUUUGUGGCUCUUUUUGACAGGUUGUUGGUCUACUCCAAAACCAUAUUUGCAAGGUUGCAACCCUUUAACAUUGCCGCACAAAUCUUUGUUCCCCUUUAGCACCUCAAUGGUAGCAUUUCGAAAUGCAUUGCUGUGAGGAAUGGGACCCUGCAACUGAUUGUAGGAAAUGUCAACAUACGACAAGGCAGGCAUGUCCUCAAAAGCCUUUGGGAUGAAACCACAAAGGUUGUUAUGGGAGAGAUCAAGCAUCUCCAAACUCUCCAAACCUUGGAUCUGUGCCGGGAUGCCACCUGUAAGCAAGUUGUGACUCAGAUCUAGCUGGGAGAGGUGACUCAGCUUACCCAUCUGAACCGGAAUUCCGUGGCUGAGUUUGUUAUUGCUCAGGUUCAAGUAAUGCAAGUCCAAGCAGUCGCCCAAGUGCUCUGGUAUUGACCCAUUCAAUCUAUUGGCUGAAAGGUCUAGAUACUCAAGGUGGGACAGCGAUCCAAGUUCAGGAGGAAUACUCCCGGAAAGUUGGUUGUCAUUCAAUAUCAGCCCCAACAGAGAAGUCAAACUUCCCAUUUUCUUUGGAAUUUCCCCAACCAAAUGAUUUGAAGAAAGAUCAAGCAAGAUUAGAUUAGUUGAGAUUCCAAAAUCUUCUGGUAUGCUCCCUGUAAUAUUGUUCCCGGCAAUCUCCAGCCUUUGUAGUUGUGGGCAUCUUCCCCAGUUAUGAGAGAGUUCACCAUGAAACCUGUUGUAGCUCAAAUCGAUGAAUUCCAGGUUUGGACAGUCACCAACUACCUCAGAUACAUUUCCAGUGAGUCGGUUUCCCUGGAACAGAGCUCUGGUUAAGUUUCUGCAAUUUUUCAAGCUUUUGGGGAUGGGACCACUGAGAUGGUUGUCACUCACUGUAAAGCGCUCCAGAGAUCCACCUUGGCAAAUGCCUUCCGGUAAAGAGCCAAACAGCUGGUUUGUGUCGAUUUCUAGCACAACCAACUUAUGAAGUUUCCCAAUUUCUUGAGGAAAGUAACCAGAAAGACGGUUAUCACGGAGGAAUAAAAUUUCUAAGUUGGUUAGAUUACCCAGUGAAGUAGGAAUGGAACCAUUGAGUUGAUUUUCUGAAAGUUCUAGAUCAACAAGAGACUUCAAGUUACCUAUUUCUUGAGGAAUGGGACCGGAAAGUUGAUUGGCAUAGAGAUGCAGGAGGGUUAGGCCACUCAGAUCACAUAAUGACACAGGGAUUGGGCCUGAAAGAUUGUUUCCGUAGAGGCUUAGACCUUGCAGGGAUUUCAAAUUUCCUAUUUCUGGUGGGAUAGGCCCAGAGAGGCUAUUGUUGAACAAGUACAACACGGUUAAAUGUUUCAAAUUUCCAAAAGUGGAAGGGAUGGGACCUGUGAGAUUGUUGGUAUCCGAGUAUAGCUGAACAAGGUUGGUGAGAUUUCCCAUUUCUGGAGGAAUGGAACCCGAAAGUUGAUUUUCAUAGAGAUACAAAGAGGCCAAGUUGCUCAAAUUACCCAAAGAAGCAGGAAUAGAACCCUCCAGUUGGUUGGUGUACAAAGCAAGCUCAUAAAGAGACGUCAACUGACCUAUUUCAUGAGGAAUUGAACCAUUCAACUGAUUUUGAACCAGGUGUAAGACCUCAAGAUUAGUUAAUAGGCCGAUCUCGGGCGGAAUCCCUCCUGAGAACUGGUUGAUAGAGAGAUCAAGGUAUUUGAGCUUGGAGAGGAGACCGAUUUGGGGUGGGAUAGGACCAGAGAGGUUGUUCAUGCUGAUAUCAACAUACGCAAGAUUGGGAAAAGAUGAGAAUGAGAAGGCUUGGAGCGUACCUCCUAAACCCGACUCUGUGAGGUUUAUUCUGAUGACGCUCCCUGCAUGGUUGCAGGAUAUUCCGUACCAUUUGCAUGGACUGACUUCUGUUCCAAGGUGGGUAGAAGAAUUGGUGAAGUUGUUAGGAUAAAGAGUCCACGAAAGGAGGGAAGAAUGGUUAUGGUUGUGAAGGGUAGCUUUCCAUUUGAGGAGAGCUUGUGUUUCUUCAUUAGAAUAAGAAGAAACAUGGUCUGAAGAAAUCAACAUAACCAAGAGGAGCAAGGAAACAAGGGAGAGCAUUUUCUGUAAGGUUGAGGGUGCCAUGGUUUUGGUUGAUGAAUUGCAUAUGCUGCUUCACAACUUCAUUUAUACACAUUUGGUUCCUUUGUUCGUCCCACUCGGAAACUUCCUUGUUCACACUUCACACCAAUUAAAAUUCAGCCCUUUAAUGUCAAGAUUGAGGUCUUUUAAAGCAUGGCUCCCUUUUUCUUUCUUUUUGCCUGGGGUUCCCUUUCUACUAGCAUGGUGGUCUUCCUAUAUCUUUGUGGUCGUCGAAGUCUUCUCCGGUCUCUUUCAAAAUGAAUAAUGACGAUGAAGGUUGGUUGGAGACUAACGCUCUCUUUGACAAUUAUUUUGGACAACAGAGCAGGUUUAGUAAUAAAAAAAUUAUUUUUUAUUUUUUAUUCUUAAACACAGAAAAUGAUAUGUUUUUUAGGGACUUUUUUUUUAAUUAUCAUCAAUUAUUUUGAUUUGUUUUUUAAAAAUUAUUUUAAAAAAUAACUAUAAAAAAUGGAGAAUAAUUAAAAAAAAUGGACAAAAAUUUUAUUUUUAAAAAUAUUUAAAAACAUUAAAUAUGUGAUAAAAAUAUUUAAGAUUUCUAAAUACAUUUUUAUUUUACCAUUCAUCAAAGAACUGCCGUUAAAAACUGUUAUAAAAAAAUAGUUGUUAAAGAUAACUUAAUUUUAUUUGAAUCUUUGUUUUUAUCUUUACGAUGAUCUUCUUCUUUUACUCUUUGUAAAAGAAAACCGAACUUGAAAAUUUGUUUCAGUUAAGUAAUUAUAAAAGAAAAUUUUAGUCUACUUAAUAACUAAGUUGAUUUAUUAAAACUUAAUAAUUAAUAUUUACCCUAGGCUUGGUUUUUAGAAAAUUUUAAAUGAAUUGAAUAUGAAAAAAAAAUGAAGUUUUAAAAAGAAAAAAACAAAAUUUAAGUUAAUAAAUUAUUUUUAUAUGUUUUUAAAUUUUAUUUGAAUGAUUUAUUUUUAUAUAAAGAAUAAAUAAUUUAAAAAUGCUUAAAUUUUUAAAUGAUUUUAAUUAUAUUUAAUUUAUUUAUUUUUAUGUAUUUUACAUUUUAAUAUUUAUUAUAAUAUGAAAUAUCAUAUGUUUAUUAUUAUUUGAAAUUGCUUUACAAUUUAUAAUUUAAUAGGAAAUUUUAAUUUAUUUAUUGAUAGUAUUCAUAAUUAAACUAUUUAAAACUUAUAAAUAAAAAAUAGUAUAUUAUAUAAUUAAAACAAUUUGUAUAGAUUAAAAUACUGUAGUAAUGAUAUAUAUUAGUAUUUUACUGUGUAUUUUAUACUUAUUUUUCAGUUAAUUUAAUUUUAAUUUUAAUUUUUAAUUUUUAAUUUUAAUUAAAACAAUUUAACUUUAAUUUUUUAAUUAUUAUUUUUUUAACUUUUAAGUAAUAUAAAAAAAAUUAAAGAAAAAUAAAAGGAAAUGGAUAAGAAAAGUAAAUCCGUGAUUCGGCCCAUUCCAGUCCACAGUUACCGCCGACGACACCGACGUCAGUCAACCGGCAACCGCGACGCCGCCUCAGCAGCGCAGUCACUGCCGCCAUCUCCGGAAACUCCACAGCACCACUCCUUUCCACCCAGAUGCCACGCGCCGUCGCUCACGGCAUCUCCGCCCGUGGCCUUGCCAUUCAAGGCGCCGCUCCGUCGCCGACUCCUUCCACACCCACCCCAUUCACUAACGCCAAGACCACCAUGGUCUCGGCCACUGCCUCUGGUAGCCAACAUGGCUGCCAUCUUCAUCCUCCAUCUCACCUCUCCGCCGUACCCCACUACCAAUCUCCUUCGGCCUCCAUGAUCCCCAUCUCCGCCGCUGAACCCAUCACCCUACCGGCGCCAACAUCUUUUCUUCUUUAUUUAUUUAUUUAUUUAUUCCAGUGCUGCUCAUAUAUUUUGAUAUGUAAAUAUUUAAUUUGUUAAUUAGAAAAUACAUGAGUAGCAGUCUUGGUAGAUGAAUGGAUGAAUUUUCUGCAUGAGUAGCAGAGAUUUAUCUACUUCUAUUCACACAAAACCACACUUUAUUUCUUUGGGCACAAAGCCACAAUUUCUAUGAGUACAAAUCACACCGGGUACUUGAUGUAGAAAGAAAGACUAAACAAACUCAAAAGGCAUUACAUAGUGCUGAAGAUGCAGGAGGUUCGAAACCAUGUGUUACGGUAGACUAGGUAGAGUUCCCCACAAACUAAAUCUUACCUUACUACUUUCUCUGUGAUAACAUCUGAGAAACAGUCUGCAUGGUUGGCCUGGAUUGCGGGUUGGCUUUUAAGCAUUCAAUUGCUUGCUUUAGGAUAGCUAUCACUUCCCCCUCAUCCUGGGGUGUGAGAGGUGGGAGUCGGGGGUCCAACAUGUCUUCCAACGCUAUGUUAUCCUUCUCUGGGGAAACUGAUAGAGACAAGAUCUGAUCUCCAGGAUGUCUUCCUUUGAUAACUUCCAGUGCUAUUACUCCAAAGCUAAAGACAUCAGUUUUUUCGGUCACCUUCAUUGUAUAAGCAAGCUCUGCAAAAUUAAAAGAUAAAUAUUAUAUCGUGGACAUGUUUCAUACCUUGUUUAAUUCAAGAGUGAACCGUACCUGGUGCAAGAUAUCCGAAUGUGCCUGCAAGUAUGCUCUGAUUCGAUGAGUCUAGCUUUAGAAGCUUGGCAGUGCCGAAGUCAGAAAUAUGAGCUUCAUACUGAGAAUCCAGCAGAAUAUUGUUGCUUGAUAC
This 5576-nucleotide long non-coding RNA is filed under the name Vitis vinifera (wine grape). Its description in RNAcentral is "long non-coding RNA (VVIN_LNC005630)". Lineage: Eukaryota; Viridiplantae; Streptophyta; Magnoliopsida; Vitales; Vitaceae. The record is from RNAcentral.